RNAcentral lists this ribosomal RNA (433 nucleotides) under uncultured bacterium. RNAcentral's name for it is "partial 16S ribosomal RNA". It matches the Rfam family "Bacterial small subunit ribosomal RNA", at positions 29 to 507 of the family's 1533-position model. The record is from RNAcentral.
AACGAACGCUGGCGGCAUGCCUAACACAUGCAAGUCGAACGAGACCUUCGGGUCUAGUGUCGCACGGGUGCGUAACGCGUGGGAACCGACCCUUAGGGUCGGAAUAACUCCCCGAAAGGGGUGCUAAUACCGGAUAAUAUCUUCGGACCAAAGAUUUAUCGCCUUUGGAUGUGCCCGCGUUGGAUUAGCUAGUUGGUAGGGUAAAAGCCUACCAAGGCGACGAUCCAUAGCUGGUCUGAGAGGAUGAUCAGCCACACUGGGACUGAGACACGGCCCAGACUCCUCCGGGAGGCAGCAGUGGGGAAUAUUGGACCAUGGGCGAAAGCCUGAUCCAGCAAUGCCGCGUGAGUGAUGAAGGCCUUAGGGUUGUAAAGCUCUUUUACCCGGGAUGAUAAUGACAGUACCGGGAGAAUAAGCCCCGGCUAACUCCGUG